This 762-nucleotide ribosomal RNA is filed under the name Vreelandella aquamarina. RNAcentral describes it as "bacterial SSU rRNA". It matches the Rfam family "Bacterial small subunit ribosomal RNA", at positions 41 to 797 of the family's 1533-position model. Lineage: Bacteria; Pseudomonadati; Pseudomonadota; Gammaproteobacteria; Oceanospirillales; Halomonadaceae. The record is from RNAcentral.
GGCUGGCGCAGCUACCAUGCAGUCGAGCGGUAACAGAUCCAGCUUGCUGGAUGCUGACGAGCGGCGGACGGGUGAGUAAUGCAUAGGAAUCUGCCCGAUAGUGGGGGAUAACCUGGGGAAACCCAGGCUAAUACCGCAUACGUCCUACGGGAGAAAGGGGGCUUCGGCUCCCGCUAUCGGAUGAGCCUAUGUCGGAUUAGCUAGUUGGUGAGGUAACGGCUCACCAAGGCCACGAUCCGUAGCUGGUCUGAGAGGAUGAUCAGCCACAUCGGGACUGAGACACGGCCCGAACUCCUACGGGAGGCAGCAGUGGGGAAUAUUGGACAAUGGGGGGAACCCUGAUCCAGCCAUGCCGCGUGUGUGAAGAAGGCCCUCGGGUUGUAAAGCACUUUCAGCGAGGAAGAACGCCUAGCGGUUAAUACCCGCUAGGAAAGACAUCACUCGCAGAAGAAGCACCGGCUAACUCCGUGCCAGCAGCCGCGGUAAUACGGAGGGUGCAAGCGUUAAUCGGAAUUACUGGGCGUAAAGCGCGCGUAGGUGGCUUGAUAAGCCGGUUGUGAAAGCCCCGGGCUCAACCUGGGAACGGCAUCCGGAACUGUCAAGCUAGAGUGCAGGAGAGGAAGGUAGAAUUCCCGGUGUAGCGGUGAAAUGCGUAGAGAUCGGGAGGAAUACCAGUGGCGAAGGCGGCCUUCUGGACUGACACUGACACUGAGGUGCGAAAGCGUGGGUAGCAAACAGGAUUAGAUUCCUGGGGGUAGUCAA